GGGCCGCACGCGCGCUACACUGACGGAGCCAGCGAGUACAUCCUUGGCCGAGAGGUCCGGGUAAUCUUGUGAAACUCCGUCGUGCUGGGGAUAGAGCAUUGUAAUUUUUGCUCUUCAACGAGGAAUUCCUAGUAAGCGCAAGUCAUCAGCUUGCGUUGAUUACGUCCC
This 168-nucleotide ribosomal RNA is filed under the name Ambrosiozyma angophorae. RNAcentral's name for it is "partial 18S rRNA". It matches the Rfam family "Eukaryotic small subunit ribosomal RNA", at positions 1484 to 1653 of the family's 1831-position model. Lineage: Eukaryota; Fungi; Ascomycota; Pichiomycetes; Pichiales; Pichiaceae. The record is from RNAcentral.